This 65-nucleotide transfer RNA is filed under the name Nanhuaphasma hamicercum. RNAcentral's name for it is "tRNA-His". The record is from RNAcentral. Lineage: Eukaryota; Metazoa; Arthropoda; Insecta; Phasmatodea; Aschiphasmatidae.
AUUUAAGUAGUUUAAUUUUAAAACUUUAGCUUGUGGGUCUAAUGAUGUAUAUAUUACUUUAAAUU